RNAcentral lists this non-coding RNA (32 nucleotides) under Homo sapiens (human). The record is from RNAcentral. Lineage: Eukaryota; Metazoa; Chordata; Mammalia; Primates; Hominidae.
CAGAAGGCCAAAACAUCUGUCAGCUGAGCAGU